RNAcentral lists this ribosomal RNA (848 nucleotides) under uncultured bacterium. Its description in RNAcentral is "bacterial SSU rRNA". It matches the Rfam family "Bacterial small subunit ribosomal RNA", at positions 31 to 874 of the family's 1533-position model. The record is from RNAcentral.
UGACGCUGGCGGUAGGCUUAACACAUGCAAGUCGUGCGAGAAAGUAUCUUCGGAUAUGAGUAGAGCGGCGGACGGGUGAGUAACGCGUAGGAAUCUACCUAGUAGAAGGGGAUAGCCCGGGGAAACCCGGAUUAAUACCGUAUACCUCCUUCGGGAGAAAGAAGGCCUCUCUUUGAAGCUUUCGCUACUAGAUGAGCCUGCGUAAGAUUAGCUAGUUGGUGAGGUAAUGGCUCACCAAGGCUACGAUCUUUAGCUGGUCUGAGAGGACGAUCAGCCACAUUGGGACUGAGACACGGCCCAGACUCCUACGGGAGGCAGCAGUGGGGAAUAUUGGACAAUGGGCGCAAGCCUGAUCCAGCCAUACCGCGUGUGUGAAGAAGGCCUUCGGGUUGUAAAGCACUUUAAGCAGGGAGAAAAAGUUAUAGGUUAAUACCCUAUGACCUUGAUGUUACCUGCAGAAUAAGCACCGGCUAAUUCCGUGCCAGCAGCCGCGGUAAUACGGAAGGUGCAAGCGUUAAUCGGAAUUACUGGGCGUAAAGCGCGCGUAGGUGGUUUGUUAAGUUGGAUGUGAAAGCCCUGGGCUCAACCUAGGAACUGCAUCCAAAACUAACUCACUAGAGUACGAUAGAGGGAGGUAGAAUUCAUAGUGUAGCGGUGGAAUGCGUAGAUAUUAUGAAGAAUACCAGUGGCGAAGGCGGCCUCCUGGAUCUGUACUGACACUGAGGUGCGAAAGCGUGGGUAGCGAACAGGAUUAGAUACCCUGGUAGUCCACGCCGUAAACGAUGACAACUAGCUGUUGGGAGACUAUGUCUUUCAGUGGCGCAGCUAACGCUUUAAGUUGUCCGCCU